AGAGUUUGAUCCUGGCUCAGGAUGAACGCUGGCGGCGUGCCUAACACAUGCAAGUCGAGCGAAGCAUUUAACAUGAAGUUUUCGGACGGAAUGUUAUCUGACUGAGCGGCGGACGGGUGAGUAACGCGUGGGUAACCUGCCUUAUACAGGGGGAUAACAGUCAGAAAUGACUGCUAAUACCGCAUAAGCGCACAGUACCGCAUGGUAGUGUGUGAAAAACUCCGGUGGUAUAAGAUGGACCCGCGUCUGAUUAGCCAGUUGGCGGGGUAACGGCCCACCAAAGCGACGAUCAGUAGCCGACCUGAGAGGGUGACCGGCCACAUUGGGACUGAGACACGGCCCAAACUCCUACGGGAGGCAGCAGUGGGGAAUAUUGCACAAUGGGGGAAACCCUGAUGCAGCAACGCCGCGUGAGUGAAGAAGUAUUUCGGUAUGUAAAGCUCUAUCAGCAGGGAAGAAGAUGACGGUACCUGAUUAAGAAGCCCCGGCUAACUACGUGCCAGCAGCCGCG
RNAcentral lists this ribosomal RNA (511 nucleotides) under uncultured bacterium. RNAcentral describes it as "bacterial SSU rRNA". It matches the Rfam family "Bacterial small subunit ribosomal RNA", at positions 8 to 519 of the family's 1533-position model. The record is from RNAcentral.